This 21-nucleotide microRNA is filed under the name Mus musculus (house mouse). Its description in RNAcentral is "mmu-miR-1668". Lineage: Eukaryota; Metazoa; Chordata; Mammalia; Rodentia; Muridae. The record is from miRBase by way of RNAcentral.
CAAAGGCCUCCUUCUCUGCAG